Long non-coding RNA from Pipra filicauda (Wire-tailed manakin), 1018 nucleotides. RefSeq lists it as uncharacterized. Lineage: Eukaryota; Metazoa; Chordata; Aves; Passeriformes; Pipridae. The transcript is spliced from 5 exons. The record is from RefSeq and is a predicted model, not a curated record.
GUGCUGCCCGUGGGGUGGGAUGCUGGAAUUGCCUGACUGGCUGUGUGCUGAGCUCUGGCUGCAGGGGACUGUCAGGCCUUGGUGGCUCUGUUCCCUGAUGUCCAUUCACUGGCCUGAAUUCCUUCCAUUCACUGGGCUGAAUUCCUUGCAGCUCCCAGCUGGGGAAACCUGGGAGAACAUGGCAGGGACAGAGGUGACAUUUGUAGCUGCCAACUUGGGGUAAUUUCGAGGGGACCCAGGAACUGUUUCUGAAGGAAAAGAUGCUGGAAUUGCCUCUCUGGCUGUGUGCUGAGCUCUGGCUGCAGGGGACUGUCAGGCCUUGGUGGCUCCUCCUUGCAGCUCCCAGCUGGGAAAACCUGGGAUAACUGAGGAGGGACCGAGAUGAAGGUUUUAUCUGCAGACAUAGGCUAAUUUCUAGGGGAUACAGCAACUGUUUGUGUGGGAAAGUGUGUUUAACCACAUUGGCCCAAGUUGUGUUUGAACCAGCUUGGAAAACCUGGGAUAACUGAGGAGGGACAGAGAUGAAGGUUUUGUCUGCAAACUUGGGGUAGUUUCUAGGGGAUACAGCAACUGUUUUUGUAGGAAAGUGUGUUUAACCACAUUGGCCCAAGUUGUGUUUGCACCAGCUGGGACCAGAGGUGCCAGGCAAUCCAAAGCAAACCCUGCUCAGCCUCUAAAUCCCAGGGGAAGUUCUCCAAGCUGCUCAUUGAGGGACUAAAGAUACAUUGAAAUGGAACCAAGAGCACUACUAAGUUUCCUGAGAAUCCCAGUAUUGCUGUCCUAGAAUUUUUAACCGGUUUUUUAAGCUUUUUAUGACAAAAAUUACUUUCUUCCUUUGAUUGAGUCCCGCGGUAGGAUUUGGGAUUUCUGUGGAUUCUGAAUCCCUCCCAGUGGCCCUGACACUGGUCAGAGCUGGCAGGACAAACAGAGUCAGAGCUCCUGGCAGGCACAGGGGCUUUCCCCCAGAGUGGAUCCAACUGCUGCCCCCCAGCCUGGCCAGGCGGGAUCUGCUUUGGCU